ACUCCGAAAUGGCAUUGGAAACUACCUUGCUCGAGGGUUGGAGGGGGGACUGGAAUGCUUGGUGUAGCAGUGAAAUGCGUAGAUAUCAAGUGGAACACCAGUGGCGAAGGCGAGUCCCUGGACAACUCCUGACACUGAGGCACGAAAGCUAAGGGAGCAAACAGGAUUAGAUACCCUGGUAGUCCUAGCCGUAAACGGUGCACGUUUGCUGUAAAAGGAAUCGACCCCUUUUGUGGCGUAGCCAACGCGUUAAACGUGCCGCCUGGGAAGUACGGUCGCAAGAUUAAAACUCAAAGAAAUUGACGGGGGCCUGCACAAGCGGUGGAGUAUGUGGCUCAAUUCGAUGCAACGCGAAGAACCUUACCUGGCCUUGACAUGCAAGUAGUAGAAGGGUGAAAGCCCGACGAGGUAG
Molecule: ribosomal RNA, 412 nt
Filed under: uncultured bacterium
Lineage: Bacteria
Description: bacterial SSU rRNA
Rfam family: Bacterial small subunit ribosomal RNA
Source: RNAcentral